AUGGCGGCGGAGGCCCGGGCCGAGGGCUCCGGGCCGCCCGCGCCCCCUCCGCUGCCCGUCCCCGAGAAGCGCCCGGCCCCGGUAGACGGCCGGGAGGAGGAGCGGCCCGGGACGAAGCGGCGCCGCGCGAGCGUCGCGGCGCUCGACGGCGUGCCCUGCGCCGCGGCCAAGGGCGCGGACGGCGAGGCGGACGGGAACCGUGACGGCGGCUCGUCCUUCUCCUUCCAGCACUCGCGCGGCGGUUUCGUGGCGCUGGAGACGACGCCCAAGUUCGGGUCAUUCAACCCGCCGGUGGCCGCCGAGCAGGAGGCCCUCCACCCGGAAGAUUCACCGGUUGUGAAGGAGGAGGGGGAUACGGCCUCGGCCACCGGAGUUGAGGUUGGCAAAGACGGAAGUUCGCAGUCAGUGGCGGCGGUGGACGAUCAGGGCCGUCGCCAUCCGGGAAGACAAACUGAAUCGGAACGAUGA
Molecule: ribosomal RNA, 468 nt
Filed under: Triticum aestivum (bread wheat)
Lineage: Eukaryota; Viridiplantae; Streptophyta; Magnoliopsida; Poales; Poaceae
Description: partial small subunit ribosomal RNA
Source: RNAcentral